AUCGCUUCUCGGCCUUUUGGCUAAGAUCAAGUGUAGUGGAAAAAAAGAGAAAAAGUUCUUUUUUCAAAGAAGGAAAUCUU
This 80-nucleotide small nuclear RNA is filed under the name Fukomys damarensis (Damara mole-rat). RNAcentral's name for it is "U2 spliceosomal RNA". It matches the Rfam family "U2 spliceosomal RNA", at positions 1 to 121 of the family's 192-position model. Rfam says of the family: U2 is a small nuclear RNA (snRNA) component of the spliceosome (involved in pre-mRNA splicing). Complementary binding between U2 snRNA (in an area lying towards the 5' end but 3' to hairpin I) and the branchpoint sequence (BPS) of the intron results the bulging out of an unpaired adenosine, on the BPS, which initiates a nucleophilic attack at the intronic 5' splice site, thus starting the first of two transesterification reactions that mediate splicing. Lineage: Eukaryota; Metazoa; Chordata; Mammalia; Rodentia; Bathyergidae. The record is from Rfam by way of RNAcentral.